Non-coding RNA from Corynebacterium variabile DSM 44702, 74 nucleotides. Lineage: Bacteria; Bacillati; Actinomycetota; Actinomycetes; Mycobacteriales; Corynebacteriaceae. The record is from Rfam.
CGGGAUAUGGCGCAGCUUGGUAGCGCACUCGCUUUGGGAGCGAGGGGUCGUGGGUUCAAAUCCCGCUAUCCCGA